Molecule: small RNA, 302 nt
Filed under: Pongo abelii (Sumatran orangutan)
Lineage: Eukaryota; Metazoa; Chordata; Mammalia; Primates; Hominidae
Description: processed transcript
Source: RNAcentral
CCGCCCCCUGUGUCAGUGGAUGCGACCGGGCGGGCCCUCGGCUUUGGCGGCCGGUGGAGAGGGACUUCGGCCGCUGGCUCCCGGGGCGGCUGAGGCUGAGCGCUGGUCCGGAGCAGGUGCCGGGUGCGGGCCGCGGUGUGCGGGACGGGAGCCUGGCGCGAGCGGCGGCGGGAGGGGAAAGCGCAUUUGUAACGCGGGCGACGAUGUGCCCGAAAUCCCCGGACGGUGGGUCUGCAUCGAGACGCCGAGCUCUGGAGCUGGAAAAACCCGGAAUCCCAGCAUGAUGAUACGUGAAGGGUUUU